AUACCCUAUUAUUUUCAAUGUAAAUUAAUAAAACUUGAGUAGUAACAGUUAUGAUCUUGAAACUUAAAGAAUUUGGCGGUAUUUUAGUCUAUUUAGAGGAAUCUGUUAUGUAAUCGAUAGUCCACGUUGAACCUUACUUAUUUAAUUUCUUGUAUACCGCUGUUUUAGUAUAUAUUUACAGAUUAUUUUCAUUGUAAUUAAUUUAUUAAGAUUUCAAGUCAAGGUGCAGUUUAUAUAUAAGUUGAAUAAUGGAUUACAAUAAAAUUUAUUUAUUAUGGAUAGUUUAUUUAAAUUAAAUUUGAAGGAGGAUCUAUAUGUAAAAUUAUGAAGAUUAAUAAUUUGAUUUAUAGCUCUAUAAUAUGUACACAUCGC
RNAcentral lists this ribosomal RNA (372 nucleotides) under Liturgusa cursor. RNAcentral's name for it is "partial 12S ribosomal RNA". Lineage: Eukaryota; Metazoa; Arthropoda; Insecta; Mantodea; Liturgusidae. The record is from RNAcentral.